AGACUCUCAAAUAAAGGUGGCUUUGCAGCCAUCUCUGUUUGGAUUUGGGCUUUGCUGCAUUAAUGUGGCUAGUCUUAAAUGUAUUAGCUGGUCCUUAUUGGAGUUGUGGUUCUACUCGGCGUGAUAAUUAUCUAACGUUGAGGACAGUGUUAGAACUGGCCAUAGCUCUCUCUCUGGAUUGCUUCUAAAGGAAAAUUGUCUUGAAGGGACAAUCACUCAAU
This 221-nucleotide unclassified non-coding RNA is filed under the name uncultured Hydnum. Its description in RNAcentral is "sequence contains ITS2". Lineage: Eukaryota; Fungi; Basidiomycota; Agaricomycetes; Cantharellales; Hydnaceae. The record is from RNAcentral.